AACGCGAAGAACCUUACCUGGGCUUGACAUGUUGAUGACCGCCAUAGAAAUAUGGCUUUCCUUCGGGACAUCAUCACAGGUGGUGCAUGGCUGUCGUCAGCUCGUGUCGUGAGAUGUUGGGUUAAGUCCCGCAACGAGCGCAACCCCCGUCGUAUGUUGCCAGCAUUUAGUUGGGGACUCAUGCGAGACUGCCGGUGACAAACCGGAGGAAGGUGGGGAUGACGUCAAGUCAUCAUGCCCCUUAUGUCCAGGGCUACACACGUGCUACAUUGGCGCGCACAAAGGGUUGCGAUACCGCGAGGUGGAGCCAAUCCCUAAAAGCGCGUCUCGGUUCGGAUUGCAGGCUGAAACUCGCCUGCAUGAAGGUGGAGUUGCUAGUAAUCGUGGAUCAGCAUUGCCACGGUGAAUACGUUCCCGGGCCUUGUACACACCGUAGAGAC
Molecule: ribosomal RNA, 440 nt
Filed under: uncultured bacterium
Lineage: Bacteria
Description: bacterial SSU rRNA
Rfam family: Bacterial small subunit ribosomal RNA
Source: RNAcentral